RNAcentral lists this ribosomal RNA (253 nucleotides) under uncultured prokaryote. RNAcentral describes it as "partial 16S ribosomal RNA". It matches the Rfam family "Bacterial small subunit ribosomal RNA", at positions 524 to 776 of the family's 1533-position model. The record is from RNAcentral.
UACGUAGGGACCGAGCGUUGUCCGGAAUCAUUGGGCGUAGAGAGCGUGUAGGCGGCCCCUUAAGUCCUGCGUGAAAUCCUGCGGCUCAACCGCAGACGGUCGUGGGAAACUGGAGGGCUAGAGUGCGGGAGAGGAGAGUGGAAUUCCCGGUGUAGAGGUGAAAUUCGUAGAUAUCGGGAGGAACACCAGUGGCGAAGGCGGCGACCUGGACGGACACUGACGCUGAGACGCGAAAGCGUGGGGAGCAAACAGG